This 473-nucleotide ribosomal RNA is filed under the name uncultured bacterium. RNAcentral's name for it is "SSU rRNA". It matches the Rfam family "Bacterial small subunit ribosomal RNA", at positions 26 to 518 of the family's 1533-position model. The record is from RNAcentral.
AGGACGAACGCUGGCGGCGUGCUUAACACAUGCAAGUCGAGCGGAAAGGCCCUUCGGGGUACUCGAGCGGCGAACGGGUGAGUAACACGUGAGCAAUCUGCCUUUAGCUCUGGGAUAGCUCCGGGAAAACCGGGAUUAAUACCGGAUAAGACCACUUUAGACAUCUGUUGUGGUGGAAAGAAUUUCGGCUAGAGAUGAGCUCGCGGCCUAUCAGCUUGUUGGUGGGGUAACGGCCCACCAAGGCGACGACGGGUAGCCGGCCUGAGAGGGCGACCGGCCACACUGGGACUGAGACACGGCCCAGACUCCUACGGGAGGCAGCAGUGGGGAAUAUUGCGCAAUGGGCGAAAGCCUGACGCAGCGACGCCGCGUGGGGGAUGAAGGCCUUCGGGUUGUAAACCCUUUCAGCAGGACGAAGCGAAAGUGACGGUACCUGCAGAAGAAGCGCCGGCUAACUACGUGCCAGCAGCCGC